RNAcentral lists this long non-coding RNA (16803 nucleotides) under Gossypium raimondii (Peruvian cotton). Its description in RNAcentral is "long non-coding RNA (GRAI_LNC009560)". The record is from RNAcentral. Lineage: Eukaryota; Viridiplantae; Streptophyta; Magnoliopsida; Malvales; Malvaceae.
CAGCUUCAAGAUCAGCCAACCCAUGGAUCAAACUGCAGCAUGGUUGGGUUGGCACGUUGCCGAGGUCGAGAUUCACCAAACCACCCAACAGAUUAACACACACACCAAGGUUCAAUGGAUUACAAGUACCAUAAUAGCUUUGAGCGCUACCAUCGUUGGGAAACUUGUAUCCGGGACGGAUAACAACAGGGUUCCGAGAUUUUGUGGGGUAAGAAGAACCAUUAGGAUUAUUAUCAACAUUGUAAGAGCUUACUAAAGCAAAAAAGAAAAGGUUAAGAGAGAAGAAAAGCGCAGUUGAUGGCUUAACCUUUGAAGCCAUUUUUCCAAUAGAGAAUAAUUUGAUUUCACUGACAAAAUGGACUGCGGCUUACGAUGAAGGUGAUGAAGUGAUCAAAGGGUUUUUAUAGAACACAAGGAUGAGGUUUAAAACUAGAAAAUGAAAGCCACUAAGUCAUAUCAUUUGGAUACUUUGGAUAUGUUUUCGUUGGCUUUGAUUAACAAAUCUCCCAGAUCUAUGAAUGAGUUGUUAUUAUAAUUAUAUAUCGUAAUCCCAACCAUGGACCAAGCCGAACUUUUAAAUUUUAAUUAUCAACCAUAAUUUAUAUAUUUACAAGAGUAAAACGCUGCUAUGGUUACUUGUCAAGUUAUUCAUCCAACCUCAAAGGUGUACUUAAAAUUUUGAGAGGAUUUAAAUAAAAGUAUUGAGCUCGAAAUUAAAAUUAGACAAAAAAUAAGUUCAUUUAAAAUAUGGAUCGAGUUUGGACAAAAGCCACACAUACGGUCACGCGACAUGUGGUGAAAUCUAAAAAUUGCUUAUUAACGGACUCAGACGAUGAAGGUGGUGAAAUGAUGAAAGGAUUUUUAUAGAACACAAAGAUGAGCUUUUAAAGAUAGAAAAUGGAAGUCAUUAAGUCAUAUUAUUUGGAGAAUUUGGAUACUUUAAGAUAUUGUUUCGUUGGCUCUAAUUAUGGAAUCUCCCACGUCUACAAAUGAGUUGAUAUUAUUAUCAUUUUUUUUCUAAUUGCGAAUAUGGUUUAAAUUUUAAUUAUUAAUCAUAAUUUAUAUUUAUUUAAGUUAAUGAGUUGGUUUAUUCAUUAUCUUGAAAUGAUGUUAUCAAUUGAGUGCAAGAUUUUUAUUAUUCAGAUCACGUGGCUAAGUUGUGAGAUAGAUUUCAGGUCGUGUGGUUCAGAGACAUGGUCGUGUGGCCAAACUAUGUACAGUUCGAAUAUAGGGUCACACAGUCAUGUCGUUAGGCCGUUUGCAAUUCGAAAUUGGGUCACACGUCCGUGUAACAACCUGUGGCCACAUGGGAAAAACUUGCACAAAAUUUAAAUAAGACCGUGUGUGGUACGUGGCAUGUGAUAGCCCGUGUUCCAUGUCGUGUGCACCUAAAAUGACUUCCAAAACAAGACAAAUCAUUACUCAUUUCUUAGGUACCAAGCCAAACCAAUUUCAACCAAUUUCACACCUUCAAAACACAUUCAAACAUGCUUAAAACAUACCAAAACAUUCAACCUAAGUGUCUAACCAAUAUGCCCUCAUUAGCAUCACAUUUCAUACACCAAACCAAAUUCACAUUCAAAGUCACAAGCCUUUAUCUUAUACACAUGCCAAACAUUUCAAUUCGUCCAUUCUAUUCACAUACAAAUUUACCAUAUCUCAACCAUUUUCAAGAAGUAUAAACCAAAUAACUAAAGGCAGAUAUAUAUAAACAUAUACAACCCAAAACUAAAAUAUAUAUACACAUCCACAAUAUGCUUUAACCAAAAUUUAAAUAACAUCAUAGUAAAAGAAUUUAAAAGCUUCUAGUAUAUGUCAUUUAUAACCCAACAUCAAAAUGACCAAAACUUCUACCGAGAUAAAGAACAGAUUGUGUGUGUGCUUUGACUUGAACUUCCAAUCAAUCAACAUUUUUGAUGAUCUACAAGGAAAGAAAACAAUUAAAGUAAGCAACUAGUGCUUAGUAAGUACCUAUAAUGUAAACUUUAACUUACCAAACAUGUUUAUAUUCAAACCAUUCGUGCAUAAAUUCAUUCAUUAGCUCAUGAGCAUAUAUUUCUUUCUUAUAUAACACAAACCUCAUAAGGUUAAUUAAUAAGUGUGACAAUGAAACAUAUAAUUCCAACAUAUCAUGGAACAUGUAAUAAUAAACAUAUCAAGUACACAUUUCAUCCAUCACAUAUCCCAUAAGCAUAACUUUUCCAUUUCAAGUGUUCAUAACAACAUUUUCCAAUUCACAUGUCAAGAUCAUAUAACAUUUCAUAUAUAUAUACACAUUCGUUUAAACAUUUAUCACCUGUUGAACCAAAUGAAAUAACAUCGAAUGCUUGGGAAAAUGCUCACACAAGCUGUGACUGUAAUUGUAUAUGCUCACAUGAACUAUGAAAUGGGCCUGCUCACACGAGUUGUGGGUCAAGAUGUUAGGCUACACGAUGCUACUCAUACGAGCUGUGGAGAAUCCGCACAAAUGCAGGAUCUCAACCAUUUGUAGGACAUCCAUGAUCAGCACCCAAAACUGUAAAUAACCACUAAUGACAUGUCAUUGGCAUUCUAAGUAUUCACGAGAUUCAUACAAGUCACUUUACAUAUCCGAAUCAUUUAACUUCAUUUCUAUUAUACCAUUUCAAACAUACAACCGUGUAUUUCACAUUUUCCAAGCAUAAUCAUCAAUUUAAUCAACAUCAUAAUUUUGUCCAAAAUCACUAAUCGACAUAUAUCAUUCAAUUUAACCAUAUGUAACAUGAAUAAUCAAUAAAAUGUUACCAGAGCAUCAUUUAAUGAGUUUAAACAAUAUACAAACUUACCUAAACAAAGAUGGUUAUGAAUACGAGGCUGACGACUAAUCCGUUAAUUUAGCUUUUCUACAAUUUGAGUCUAGUUGAUUCGUUUCUUGAUUUAAAUAAUAUUUUUCACUCAAUUAAUUAUAGGUAUAUAAGGUUUUUUUUAUUUAUUUAAAAUGUAAGUUACCAAUUUACAAAAGAAGUAUCAACAUUUUGUUUAGAAUGUUAUUUUCGUCCAAUUUUUUUUUUUGAAACAUCUUGUUUUAGCCUUAUAUUGAUGUAGCGGUGGUGUACAAAUUUUAGUUUAUAUAUGGUGAAAAAAUAAAGAAAAUACUAUAAUUUAUAAUUUCUGUGACUAAACUUGUUGAGUGUUUUUUUGAGUGUGUCACUUUCAAGAGGGUUAAAAUCACUAUUUAUAUAAUAUGGUUACUGUUCACGGAUAUGGCAUCGUAGAUACCUCAUGCAUCCUAGCACAUACCCUACUUUGGGACUAACACAUGUUUUCAAGAUGUGGGUUGCAUGGUUUUGCGAAUCACAUCGUUCGAACUCAUAAAAGAAUGCAAAUACUUCACAUGCGAACUUAAGAUGUGGGUCAAGAUCAAAUCAGGUACUCAGGUGUUGGGUCGGUAAUGGCGAAUUCCAUAAUAAAACUUAUAGCAUUGUCAUUCAUAAAUAUCUUGUUCUAUUAAUUAGAAAUGGAUUGCUAUAAAAAAAUAUUAAAACAAUAAGUAAAGAAAUUAUUACAAGAGAUGAAAGGGAAAGGUUGAAGAGCCUUUCCUUUAUGCAAAAACUAAUAAGAAAUGAAUCAGCGAGACAACCCAACAACCACUCAGUACAUCGAAGAAUAAUAAAAGAGAAUCGCUGUGAAUGACGAUAUUUAAGGAGCGCAAAUAUAUUCGGUAGCGACUCUUCUUCCACAAUUAUUGAGUAAGAGACUCAAUGAAAUAGGAAGGUUGAGUUUGAUGUCUAACACAUUAGCUCUAAUGGCAGUGCAAAGACAAACCGCAGCUUCAAGAUCAGCUAACCCAUGGAUCAAACUACAGCAUGGUUGGGUUGGUACGUUGCCGAGGUUGAGAUUCGCCAAACCACCCAACAGAUUAAGACAUACACCAAGAUUCAAUGGAUUACAAGUACCAUAGUAGUUAUGAGUGCUACCAUCGUUAGGAAACUUGUAUCCAGGACGGAUUACAACAGGGUUCCGAGAUUUUGUCGGAUAAAAAGAACCGUUUGAAUUAUUAUCGACGUUAUAAGAGCUAACUAAAGCAAAAAAAAAGAAAAGGUUAAGAGAGAAAAAUAGAGCAGUUGAUGCCUUAACGUCUGAAGCCAUUUUUUCAGUAGAAAAUUAUUUGAUUUCACUGAGAAAAUGGACUGUUUUGAUGAGAGAAAUCUAAAAAUUGCUUAUUGGCUGCCUCAGACGAUGAAGGUGGUGAAAUGAUCAAAGAUGAGCUUUUAAAGCUAGAAAAUGGAAGUCACUAAGUCACAUGUUUUGGAGAAUUUGGAUACUUUAAGGUAUGGUUUCGUUGGCUCUAUUUAUGGAAUCUCCCACGUCUAAUUAUAAUUGUUUCUUUUUUCUAAUUGCAAAUAUGGAAUAAGCCAAAGUUUUAAAUUUUAAUUACGAAUCAUAAUUUAUAUUUAUUUACGUUGAUGAGUUGGUCAGUGUGAGAUUGUAAUCAUUCAGUUAAAUUAUUAAAUUAUUAUUAAGUUUAUAAAAAAGUUAUAAAAUGAUCAUUAAAUUAUCGGAAAGUUUUUAUUUAUGUCAUUAGAUUGUUAAAAUUGUCAUUGUAUGAUAAUCUAUAUUCACACUGCCUGCACCAAUUGAAAACUUUUUUUCUCCUUCUCUUGUACAAUUCAAUUUUUUUUCAUGAAACAACUUUGAACGUUAAAAAUUGGAGAACCAAAAUCCAAACAGUUUUUUCCGUUGAUCUCCAACACUAACUGUCUGAUCAAUUUAGAUUUAAGGUAUGUUAUUCUACUCGUUGAUGGGUACUGAUCCACCAUACUAAUUGUUAAAUCGUUGGUUGAAGCUCACUUGCUGGAUUUUUUUAAGAAAAAAACCUUAAUAACUUAGUGACUUAAAUAAAAAUUUUAAUUAUGUAUAAUAAUAUACUUAUUUACGAACCAAAAUCCAAGCAACUGAUGAAUUGAUCUCUAGUACUGACAAAUUGAUGAUUAUCAAUUAGAUUUAAAUAUUUAUUUUAUACUAUAUAUUUAUUUCUAUUGUGUAAAUAAAUUAAAAUUAAUAAUUUCUAAGCAAAUUUUUAUAUAUAAAUAUAUAUAAAAAACUAUUACAAAUGUAUUACUUAAUAAAUUAUAUAAAUAAUAUAUAUGUCAAAAUUCAAACAUGUAACAAUACAAACUCAUAAAUUUAACAAACAAAGCAAAAUACUAAAACCUUAACAAGGUUUUGUAUGUUUUUUUUACAAAAGAAGUUUUAACGGAGAUAAAAGAAAAGUUGCAAAUGUUAAAAGAUUCAAACUUUACACAUAAUAAACAUCACUUUUUAAAGAUGAUUUUAUGAAAACAUUGAUAUAAGUUCCAAAUUCCAACCAAGCUUAAGUAAUGAAUUUGUGUUUUAUUAUGGAACAAUGAAAUGAAAAUCCCAUAAAAAAUAAAGCAUUGCUAUUGUUGGGGAUCGACUUGUAUAAAUAACAAGAUAACAAAAGUGAAGAAGAACAAAUGCAAAUAUUUUACGUGAAAAACCCUCAAAGAGGAAAAAAUAGGAAACUAAUUAAAUUAAAGUUCUUUCUUUGGCCCAAUUAUCGAUUAGUAGAUUUAGAUUGUAUGAAUCAAUAUUGGUUUAAUACUAAUACCGGCAGUCGUUUCAAUAUGAUAAGGAUCCGUAUGCAUCCGCGUCUAAAAAUUUGUUAAUGGUACAUUUUCCCUAUAUUAUGUAUGUAUCGUGCCGGGCAUAUGAAAACAAAUAGAUGGUCACAAGGAUUGUCUUACAUUUUAUUCUGAUACACGAUACUAAUUUAAUGACAUACAUAUCAAUUAGAUCGACAAAUGAAUCAACAAAAUCCUAUUUGAACUCUCAAAUUUUCUCUUUUGUAGAAAUCUCUCACUCUUUUGUAUCCCUAUACGAAUCAAAUCAAAAUCCAGGUUGAUUAAUUUUAUUUGAAAAAAAAUGAUAAAGUUCAUAAUGAACUUAAAAUCACCGUGUAUAUAAAAAUGACCGGUAUUAUUAUUACUUAUUAGUAAAAUUCACAUUCAAAAAAAGCAGGGAAAUUUUUUGGUUUUAUGGUACAAAAUUCAUUCAUCCCAGUUAUUUUUCAAGAAAAAAAGAGAAGAAAACAGGGGAUCUAUUGAAUUUCAAAUAGUUAGUUUCACCAAUAAGAUACGAAGACUUACUUCACAUUUGGAAUUGCACAAAAAAGACUAUUUAUCUCAGAGAAGUCUACGUAAAAUUCUAGGAAAACGUCAACGACUGCUAUCUUAUUUAUCAAAGACAAAUAAAAUAUGUUCUAAAGAAUUAAUUGGUGGGUUGGAUAUUCAAGAAUAAAGAAAUGGUUAAUUUGCAAAUUUUGAAUUAGUCGAUUUAUUAGAUUUUCAUUUUGAUGUACUUAGUUUUCUUUUUCAACAAUUCAUGUAAGAAUGAAUCGAGGAAAAACUUAUGAAUCUAUCAGCUACAGAAAAAAGACCUUAUAAUAGUCAAUAUGGGGCCUCACCACCCAUCAAUGCAUGGUGUUCUUAGUCUCAUUGUUACUCUAGAUGGUGAAGAUGUUGUUGACUGUGAAUCACAAUUAGGUUAUUACACAGAGGAAUGGAAAAAAUUGUGGAAAACCAAACAAUUAUACAAUAUUUAUUAGAUUUUAAUAUAUCAAAUAUAUCAAAUUUAACUCAUUUUCGUAACAUAUAGGGAUUAGGCAACCAUACAAAUUUUAUCAAUUGUUAUUUGGGCACAUUAGACAGGAUUGAAGAAUGCCCAUAGAAAAAUAUGGAAAUUUGUCAUAAGGAAGCUUUAAGGAGAAUGGGGAAUUUCGGACUUAUAGAAAAUAUUGUGGAUGCUCCUAACCGUUGUGGGGGCGUGCACCAAAAUAAUGAAAUUAUUAAACAAUAUGAAAACACAGUUUUAACUGUAAACAUAUAAGGUAGAGCUGUAAUAUGGAAAUUUUUAGAAUGAAUAUAGAACAUUUUAAGCAUCGGAUUCGAGAGAUUAUUAAAAUUAGUAAAUAGUGGUAUCAAAUUAAUUAUUCCAAAAUAAUUAUUAACCUAAUCAAUUCACAAAUUAGUAGUAUCAAAGAACAUUGUAUUUCAUGCAAACUAAUAAAUAUUAGUUCAAUCAAUUUACUAAUUGUUAAUUAAGCUAAUACACUAUUUUAAUUGAGUUGCUUAUUUCUACUAAUUAGGAUUAUUCUCUUGGUCUCCUCCUACGUAAGAGUUAUCACAUAAGUUGUCCUCGUCACAUUUUAUGUCAAAUCAUUAUAGGAUAAAUUUUUCUUUUGAUUUCAUUUGUUUAAAUAUUCUUCUAGAUUCGUCAAUUCUAGUAUUUUAAAAAUUUUCAGUUAUCCUAAACCUACCAAUUGAGUGUUUGCUUAAAUUAUAAGCAUAAUGUUCUUUUUUAACAUACAUAGCCACACGCAUGGUUAUUUGUUAGUGAAUUAAAUUAUUAAAUUUUUUAAAAAUAAAUAGUUUCAUAAGUUUUUAUAUUUUUUGAAAAUUAGGAAUUUAGUCAAUGUAUUUAUAUUUUAUGAAAUUUAUUUUCUCUACUUUUAAGAUUUUAAAUUUAAAGUCCAAUUGUUAACACCGUUUUUUUUUGUUAAAAUUGUUGUUAUAAUAUAUUACAAAUAAAAAAAAUACAUACUUGGCAGCUAUGUAAUUAAAUGAAUGACUUUGUAAUUAACUUGAAUUUAAUAAAAAAUAAUAAUAGUAUUAACAAUUAAAUAUGAAUUUUAAAAUCUGAAAAGUAUAGACACUAAAUUCUUAAUUUUCAAAAAAAUAUUAUUAAUUUUGGGUUUAAACUCUAGAUAAAAAUAAAAACAUUAUAAUAUAAAAAAAUAUGAAUAUGAAUAUGAAAAUAAUUAUUAAACUUGACAUGCCACGCCACGUCUGCUUGUAUAUAUCUUUGGUAAUCAUUAGCAAUAUUUAGUUAGGCCUUUGAGUUCAACAGAUUUUUGAAUCAGAUCUAAGUAAGAAUAAUAACGGUAAUUUAAAAAAAAUUCGAAAUCAUAAAUUUUCAUUUUGAUGUACUUAUUUUCCUUUUCAACAAUUCAUGUAAGAAUAAAUUGAGGAAAAACCUAUGAAUCUAUCAGCUACAAUAAAAAGACCUUAUAAUAGUCAAUAUGUGGCCUCACCACCCAUCAAUGCAUGGUGUUUUUCGUCACUUUGGAUGGUGAAGAUAUUGUUGACUGUGAAUCAAUAUUAGGUUAUUUACACAGAAGAAUGAAAAAAAUUGCGGAAAACCAAACAAUUAUAUAAUAUUUGCCUUAUGUAACGCGUUGGGACUAUUCAGCCACUACGUUCACAAAAGCAAUAACCGUAAAUGGACCAGAACAAUUAGGGAAUAUUCAAGUCCCUAAAAGGGCCAACUAUAUCAGAGUAUUUAUGUUGGAGUUGAGUCGUAUAACUUCUCAUCAAUUACGGCUUGGACCUGUUAUGGUAGUUAUUGGUGCACAGACCCCCCCCAUUUUAUCUAUAGUUUCAGAGAAAGAGAAUUAGUAUAUGAUCUAUUUGAAGCUGCCACCGAUAUGAGAAUGAUGCAUAAUUAUUUUCGUACCGGAGGAGUGGCGACCUGUCUACCUUAUGGCUGAAUAGAUAAAUGUUUUGAUUUCUGUGAUUUUUUUUAAUAGGAAUUGUUGAAUAUCAAAAACUUAUUACGCGAAAUCCUACUUUUUAGAACGAGUUAAAGGGAUAGGCGUUAUUGGUGGAGAAGAAGCAAUAAAUUGGGGUUUAUCUGGCCCAAUGCUACGAGCAUCUAGAAUCAAAUGGGAUCUUCGGAAAGUUGAUCAUUAUGAGUGGGGCAAAUGAGGUUUGUCCCUUUUCACUAAAUGAGUAAACAAACGAUAGUGCAAUAUGUAGAAGAUGACCUAAACGUACAACCUAUACAUUACCUAAAACCACAAAUACAAAUCUCAAAACCUCAAAGGGCAAACUGAUAAACAAAACCCUAAAUCUCAUAAGGCACUCACAAAAGGGUAUAAAAUACUCUCCAUAAUUAACACAAAACUCAUAUGCGUUUACAUCUUGUCACCCCAAAAAAAAGCCAUUUUUUGCAUUUCAAAACAAGGAUACAAGGCCCUUUUAAAUAUGUUAAGAUUAGAGUUCUAAUCAUAUUAAAAUAUCCCUGGAAUAAUCAGAGUUUAACUAAGAAAAGAUAGCAUAGUUUAACUGGAAGAAGAAUACGAGGCACACCCCACAAAUCUCCAUCUUGACUAGUAUUUAUCACACCUUUUUUUUUCCAUUCCCCAUCAUGGGCCUAACUCUAAUUUUGGAGAAUGUCAACUAAGGCUAAAAUAUACUCAAACUUCUAAACUAAAAGACUUUUAGUCUUUAAAUCAAAAUUGUAUAAUGCAACAAGGGUCAGUAACACCCUCUACCUAACAGCAGCCCUUUGUGACUAACCUUGCCUGGAAACAUUCUGCAAACCAUUCAAGUCUUAAAGACCAAAAGGAGAUUAGAUUCUUUUCUAAAUCAGGCGCAUGUCUAACAUCUGACACGACCCCACCUUCAACCUAAUUAUGUGUGGAGAAUAACAAAUCAUCAAUAUUGUCCUUGGCCAUAUCAGCUACUUCUAUAAUUAUCUGAAACUGCUAGAAACUGAAAUUUGUCGUCUAUCAAACUUCUCGAUAUCCAAAAAUGUUGUUGUGCCACCGAGCAAGGCAAUCUGCAAAAGCUGAACAGUAGCUCUGAUGACAAUUUGUUGGAGAUUAACCCGUAUAAACAACGAGAUAAUAAAAGUGAAGAAAAACGAACGCAAAUAUUUUACAUGAAAAACCCUCAAAGAGGGAAAAUUCACGGGCAAAGGAGGUAUCACCUUUUCACUAAAUGAGUAAACAAACGAGAGUAAAAUAUGGAGAAGAUAACCUAAAUGCACAACCUGUACAUUACCCAAAACCCCGAAUAGAAAGCUCAAAAUCCCAAAGAGAAAAUCGGUAAACAAAACCCUAAAUCUCAUAAAACACUCAUAGAAAGUGUAUAAAAUAGUUUCCAUAAUUAUCACAAACCUCUCACCAAAACUCAUAUGCGGUUACGUCUUCUCGCCCCCAAAGAAAAGCCCAUUUUUUUUAUUGGUAUCUCAAAAUAAGGAUACAAAAUGCCUUUAAAGAGGCUAAAUUUAGAGUUCUAAUCAUAUUAAAAUAUGCAUGGAACAAUCAAAAUUUAACUGACAAAAGGUAACAAAUUUUAACUUGGAGAAGAAUACAAGACACACCCGAUGGCUACAUAAAUUUAUAUUUAUUAAUCAAUAGUUUUUAUAAUUAUAUAGAUAUACUAAAUAUGUAUACUAAAAUUUAUAUAAUUUUCUUUUAAAAAUAUAUUUCAAAUUAUUUAGUAAUAUAAUAAAGAAGGGUUAUUGAAUACAGAUGCAAACAAUACAAUCCAACAAAAAAAAAAUGAAAAUUCAAUAAACAAUAAAAAGUAAAGAGUGGUCAAACAUUGUUGAAGAACUAUAUCUAAGGGCUACAAAUGUAUUGAGUAGCAACGUUUCUUCCACACUUAUUGAGUAAGAGGCUCAAUUAAAUAGGAAGGUUGAUGUUAAUGCCUAACGCAUUAACUCUAACGGCAGUGCAAAGGCAAAUUGCAGCUUCAAGAUCAACAAAUCCUUCAAUCAAGCUGCGACAUGAUUUUGUAGGUACGUUUCUGAGAUUAACAUCCACCAAACUCAACAGCUUAAAACACAUCGAGAUUUAGGGGAUUGCAUGUAUUGAACCGUCCUUGGUUAUUUGAGUACACAUCUCGAGGAUGAAUAAAAACAGUGUUUUUAGAAUCUUUUGAAUCAUUAUUGAUAUUAUAAGAGCUGACUAAAGCAAAGAAGAGAAGGCCAUUUUUCAAAAGGAAUUUGUUUGAAGUGGUUGAGAGAAAGCCAAAAGUUGUGACGAAGUGAGGAAAGGGUUUAUAUAGAAAAAAGGGAUGAACAUAAAAACUAAGUAACUGAGAGGCACUAAGUGAAAUUAAUUGGGAUACAGAAAUAUUUGAUUGCUGGCAAAGACUGGAAUUUCCCCUCUGUAUGAUGGUUAUUCGAAUCCAAUAGGCCAAUUUUUAAAUAAUAACAUGAGCACAACGUUGUCACUAUCAUAACUACAAUUAAUUUAGCACUUUGCAAAUAUCAUGUCACCAGCACACACCAAAAGACAGUACAUAUUGCAAAUUUGUACCUUUGGGUAUCUUUAAUAUUAAUUAAAGAUUAAAAAAAAAACUCUAAUAAUUAGGCUCACACGCUGCUAAAAUUCAAUUAACUCAGAAAGGUUUAAGUCGUUAAAUCAAUAGGAGUUGAGUUAAAUUUGAGUUUUCUUUACUUGAAACGAGAAUUUAUUUUAAAUGUAAAAUGCCUUUCUGAUUAUUUUAAAUAAAUUAUUUUUAAUAUAAAUGCGUUGCAUGUGAUUUUAUACUUUUAAUUUUUAAUUAAUUAAUUUUUGAAUAACGUAUUUUUAAUUAUUAUUACCUAUCAUUGAUAAUGAUGAUUUAUCUUAAUUUUUAAAUAAUAUAUCAAUUUGAAACUAUAUAAAAAAAUAAAUUAUAAUAUUCACUUUUCCCAAACUCCCUUUUCCAUCCAAAAAAAUGCUCCCCUGAUUUCCAAUAAGUCAUUUACUUUUCAAAACAUUUUUACUCGGACGUUUGAUUCCCAGGGAGAAAAACACUAUCUUCCUCACAAAGCUUCAGUUGGGUUCUCUGAUCCAUUCGUCUUCCAGCGUUUUAAUUGCAUGACUUGGUACUGCACCAUCCAGGUAAAACCCUUUCCUUUUCUUCAAAUUCUCAGUGGCUAUAAUAUGUACCAAAGCGUUUGCUGUGCGAUGGACAUGCUGAAAUUUUAUAGAUUUGAACUCGCUUAGUAGAGUCUUAAUGUUGUGGAUAAUGGAACAUAUUUCUGAUUUAUCUCUGGAUUUUUAAGUUUAUUUCUUGCUUCACACAACAUUAAAAAUUGUACCCACAUUUUCUAAAGAUAUUAUUUUAUUCUAAUUUUUUUCAAAACAUAUUCGCUGUGCCAAAUUUAAUUUAUAUCAAGAAAAAGAUCAAAUUCGUAUAAAUUAUUAUAAGGAAAUACUAUAAUUUAUAACCUCCAUUAAUUAUCUCAUAGCAUUAUAAUUGAUUGGGAUUUUCAUAGACAUCUUAUUUUAUUACUUAGAAAAUGCAUCCUUAUUACAAAAAUAAAUUAAGACAAGAAGUAAAGAAAUUAUUACAAGAGCUGAAAGGGGAAGGUUGAAGAGCCUUUCCUUUAUGAAAAAACAACAAUUCGAGAACUGCUAUGAAAUGAAUCAAAGAUAGAGAAUCUAACAAACAAUCGAUAAAAGAAUAAUCAAAGAAAAUUUUCUAAAACGACAAUAUUUAUGGAGCGCAAAUGUAUUCAGUAGCCACCCUUCUUCCACAGUUAUUGAGUAAGAGACUCAAUGAGAUAGGAAGGUUGAGUUUAAUGUCUAACACAUUAGCUCGGACAGCAGUGCAAAGGCAAACCGCAGCUUCAAGAUCAGCCAACCCAUGGAUCAAACUGCAGCAUGGUUGGGUUGGUACGUUGCCGAGGUUGAGAUUCACCAAACCACCCAACAGAUUAACACACACACCAAGGUUCAAUGGAUUACAAGUACCAUAAUAGCUUUGAGCGCUACCAUCGUUGGGAAACUUGUAUCCGGGACGGAUAACAACAGGGUUCCGAGAUUUUGUGGGGUAAGAAGAACCAUUAGGAUUAUUAUCAACAUUGUAAGAGCUUACUAAAGCAAAAAAGAAAAGGUUAACAGAGAAGAAAAGAGCAGUUGAUAACUUAACCUUUGAAGCCAUUUUUCCAAUAGAGAAUAAUUUGAUUUCACUGAGAAAAUGGACUGCUUCCUACGAUGAAGGUGAUGAAGUGAUCAAAGGGUUUUUAUAGAACACAAAGAUGAGGUUUGAAACUAGAAAAUGAAAGCCACUAAGUCAUAUCAUUUGGAGAAUUUGGAUAUUUUAAGAUAUGUUUUCGUUGGCUUUGAUUAAGAAAUCUCCCAGAUCUAUGAAUGAGUUGUUAUUAUAAUUAUAUAUCGUAAUCCCAAGUAUGGGACCAAGCCGCAAUUUUAAAUUUUAAUUAUGAAUCAUAAUUUAUAUAUUUACACUAGUACAACCUUGCUAUGAUUACUUGCAAAUAAAAAUGUUCAUGAACCAGGUUAUUCAUUCAAACUCGAAGGUGCACCUAAAAUUUUGAGAGGAUUUAGACAAAAGUAUUAGGUUCGAAAUUGAGAUUGGAUGAAAAAUUGGUUCAUUUAAAAUAUGAACCGAGUUUGGACAAGAGCUACAUGGGCUACCACACAACCAUGUGACAGGCCGUGUCGAUUUCGCGAAUUGCACUCCGAACAGUGGAAAAACGUGAUUUUUAGGGUUUUUCGAGCAUUCUGAGAACUAUAUAUGACAAAAAUAAGAAGAUAGUUGUGAGCCGUCAUAGAAUAUUCAAGAAAACAACUCGAAAAACAACAUUGAAGCUGAUUCUAAAGUAAUUUUCCGUCAAGAUUGAAGAUUCCUAGUUGAUUUCUUAAGAGAUUAUCAUGAGUUUCUUUAUUUCUUUUGGUUAUACUGUCUCUGGGAUAUUUUUAUUUUCAAGCAUGAACUAAUUUUCUAAAUACCUAGGGGGAGAUGAACCCCAUGAUGAAUUCUAUCGUUUGAUUUUUAUUUUAAGCAAUAAAUACUUGGAUCUUGUUAUUAAUUAUGUGUGAUUGAUUCUUGGUUUGAUAUUUCUAAAUUAUUGAUCCAUAUUUGAUGUACUUAAAUCAGAGGAGGAAUAGACACUGCUUAACAGUAGAUCUUGAGUAAUUUAGUAGAAUUGCAUGCAAUCCUAAAAAUAGGACGACAUAAAUCUAUCGAAUUAGAGUCAAAUCUAAUAGGGGACUCCAUAAAUCGAGUUAAUGCGAUAGUAGGGGUUUUAAUUAGAAAGAAAUUUCAAUUAAUCAACCUAGAGUCAGUUGCUCUACUCUCGAAAGAGUUAUUAGCAUAGUUUAGGGAUGUUGUAAUACCUUGAUUAAUUUAAGCCUGUUUUUGUGAAAUUUAACAAUUAUGUAUAUGUUUCAGUGGUUAAGUGUUUUGGGUGUGUGUAUGAGGUCUUGGGUUCAAGUCUCACAUCUAAUAAUUUUGCUAUUUUAGAUCCAAACCUUACCCUUGUUGAGUGGGCUUAUAUAAAACUGUCUGUUAAUCUAUAUUAGAAUAAGCUUGCUGGUUUGAGUGGUAAGGGGUUGUUGUGUUGGAGUUCUUGUGUUUGAAUCCUUGUGUGAACAUGGAUGUUAAAAUUUUUGCUCGGUUGUUUGGUCGAGUUUCGGCAUAGCUAAAAUUCUGAGGUAGUUGAGAUUGAGUGUUGGUGGGGAGUUGGGAUUGUAAUCAAUUUGUUAAUUUUAUUUCCUGUUUUUCAAUUUUUCUUCCUAUUCUUUACCAUUUUCAUCUUCCUCUUCCUUUCCGAUGAUUUUGUUUUUCAUCUUUUUAUCUGCUGUCGUAAUUUCGCAUCUCGAUAUUUUGGUGUUCUUUGUGCAUUUUUGGUAAGUGUGGUUAUGUUUUGGUUAGUGAAUCAUUGGUUGAUAGGGUUCGUUAUUGUUGCUUAGGAGAAGAUCAAGGGGCUGGGGGCUUCCAAUUGGUGCUAUAGUUGUACGAAAUCACCAUUGCCCAUUCGAAGGUAAAGGUUUUGAUUCAAUAAAGGAUUGUCUAUUUCAAUGUAGUUACGGUUUAGUUUCAAUUUAAGCGACUAAUUCGGCAAUUUAUUGGUCAAUUUUAGGUGUUGUGUGGCUCGGGAGUGUUUUCGCAUAAAAAACGAUCCAGGUGUGUUCCCAAAACGCAGAAAAUUGGGUUUCGGCAAAAGCCAAAAAAGUGUUCUGUCGAUGCCACACGGUUGUGUGCCUGGCCGUGUUGUAGGCUGUGUUCAAGACACGGUCGUGUGUCUGACGAAGGUGCGGCCGUGCUCAAGACACGACCGUGCGAUGGUUGAGUGUGGCCGUGUGGGCCACACGGGCUAGGCCAUAUUGGGCGUAUGAGCCUACACGGGCAUGUGGGUUUUGGGCCAGGCCUUGUGGACCACGCGGGCAAGGCCAAUCUGGGCGUGUGGGCCGCACAGCAUGUAGGCCCAAAAUUCUAAAAUUUUCCCUAAGAUUGCACGGGUCGUUCCAAUUGACUGUGGACCUACCGUAGAGUCGCUAAAGGCUAACCAAACUCUAAAUUAUGUGAUCUGAUAUUCUGGUAGUAUGCUUUGAGUAGGACACCGUUAUGCAUGUCUGAUUAUUCUGUUAUAUAUAUGUAUAUGUUAUCUGUACGCAAGCAUGUUAAGCAUGAUAUUUCUGUAUCUGGAUAUUGUAUUUAUGACCGGGGUGAGAAUCGUAUAUGUGGAGGAAGUAAUCUGUACAGCGACCUGUCACCUAUAUUCUGGCAGCUUGGCUGCAUAUUAUUUGUUCUGUGUUGCAUGUGUAAGGUCUUUCUUGUCACAUUCAGGUGGGCAAGGACCUAUUUUGAGCCAAAAACAGAGAUUUAACCAGACAAAGGUUGCUUUUAUCUAUCGGCUUUUCCAGUUUUUUGAAAAUCAUCAAAUUUCGUCUAAAAAGCCACAGCCUUCCUGCCAGUAUUAAUUCCAGAUCCUCCUCUUCUUCAAAUUCAAUCAUGAACAAGUUUUGACCAGAAAUUUUGAUCUCAAAUUUCUUUUUUGUUUUCCAGAUACUCUUCAAUUGGGCUCGAAACCUAUCUGGAUUGUAGGUUUUCAUUGUCCAUACAAUCCCUAAAAGAGUCAGCUUUCCAUUGGGGACCACCAGGGAGCUUUUGACAGUCAAAUGUACCGAUUCUUCUUCCAGGAGAGAGAUAUCAUCCCUCGCCAUAGCUAUCUUUGUCACCGCCCUACUCAAGACCCAACCACAGCAGACUUAUUUCUUUGGGAGACUAUGAGAGAGCACUCUUGACUUUUUUUUUGCUACAUAAAAGAAAUUCUUAAAACAUGAAAGAAUUGUUUAAAUUUUGAAAAAAAUUCACUUUUUUAAAGAUAUUAUUUUAUUCCAAUUUUUUUCAAAACAUAUUAGCUGUGCCAAUUUUAAUUUAUAUCAAGAAAAAGAUCAAAUUUGUAUAAAUUGUUAUAAGAAAAUACUAUAAUUUAUAAUCUCCAUUAAUUAUCUCAUAGCAUUACAAUUGAUUGGGAUUUUCAUAGACAUCUUAAUUUAUUACUUGGAAAAUGCAUCCUUAUUACACAAAUAAAUUAAGACAAGUAAAGAAAUUAUUACAGGAGAUGAAAGAAAUUAUUACAGGAGAUGAAAGAAAUUAUUACAGGAGAUGAAAGGGAAAGGUUGAAGAGUCUUUCCUUUAUGAAAAAACAACAAUUCGAGAACUGCUAUGAAAUGAAUCAAAGAGAGAAUCCAUCAAACAAUCGAUAAAAGAAUAAUCAAAGACAAUUUUCUAAAACGACAAUAUUUAUGGAGCGCAAAUGUAUUCAGUAGCCACCCUUCUUCCACAAUUAUUGAGUAAGAGACUCAAUGAAAUAGGAAGGUUGAGUUUAAUGUCCAAGACAUUAGCUCGGACAGCAGUGCAAAGGCAAACCGCAGCUUCAAGAUCAGCCAACCCAUGGAUCAAACUGCAGCAUGGUUGGGUUGGUACGUUGCCGAGGUCGAGAUUCACCAAACCACCCAACAGAUUAACACACACACCCAAGGUUCAAUGGAUUACAAGUACCAUAAUAACUUUGAGCGCUACCAUCGUUGGGAAACUUGUAUCCGGGACGGAUAACAACAGGGUUCCGAGAUUUUGUGGGGUAAGAAGAACCAUUAGGAUUAUUAUCAACAUUGUAAGAGCUUACUAAAGCAAAAAAGAAAAGGUUAAGAGAGAAGAAAAGAGCAGUCGAUGACUUAACCUUUGAAGCCAUUUUUCCAAUAGAGAAUAAUUUGAUUUCACUGAGAAAAUGGAC